Poecilia latipinna (sailfin molly) is the source of this 505-nucleotide long non-coding RNA. RefSeq lists it as uncharacterized. The record is from RefSeq and is a predicted model, not a curated record. Lineage: Eukaryota; Metazoa; Chordata; Actinopteri; Cyprinodontiformes; Poeciliidae. The transcript is spliced from 3 exons.
UUUAUUCCAGAGUAGUGGAAUGUAGCGGAUUUAAAUUGAUUUAAAUUGAAAUGUAUAUUUUUUAAAUAUAUUGAAUCAGAAUAAUGUAAUUUAGCUUCUUUGAACAACAUUCUUUAAGAUGACCCAUUAUUUAUUAAUUCAAUCUGCUGAAAAUUGUAUAAAACGUGUUCUCUAAAUUAUCUUAUAUUUCUAAUGUAACAUUAUUUUUGUAAUUAGGGGUUCUUCAACUUCGAUCAAGAGUGCUAUAGGAAAUACGGGAAAAUAUGGGGUAUUUACGAUGGCCGCCAGCCCGUGUUGUGUGUUGCAGAUCCUGAAAUCAUAAAGGCCAUUCUGGUUAAGGAAUGCUACUCUUUCUUCACCAACCGCAGAAAUUUCCAUCUGAAUGGGGCCCUGUAUGAUUCCCUGUUCAAUGCUGAAGAUGAUCAAUGGAAAAGGAUCCGUAGUGUCCUAUCUCCUUCCUUCACCUCUGGGAGACUGAAGGAGGUGAGCUUCUCCACCUUCUCUA